RNAcentral lists this unclassified non-coding RNA (355 nucleotides) under soil metagenome. Its description in RNAcentral is "partial contains 5.8S ribosomal RNA, internal transcribed spacer 2, and large subunit ribosomal RNA". The stretch from base 1 to 120 matches the Rfam family "5.8S ribosomal RNA", at positions 35 to 154 of the family's 154-position model. The record is from RNAcentral.
GAUGAAGAACGUAGCGGAAUGCGAUAAGUAAUGCGAAUUGCAGAAUCCGUGAGUCAUCGAAUCUUUGAACGCACAUUGCGCCCCUUGGUUAUUCCGAAGGGCAUGCCUGUUCGAGCGUCAUUAUCACCCCUCAAGCCCUGGCUUAGUGUUGGACUUUAGUUAUAGCUUUGCCUAUCAACUGGUCUCAAAGAUAGUGACGGCGCCCCAGAGGGAACCGGGUACGAGGAGCUUUUUACUAAGCAUGUAUCUGGGACGACUCUGAUGGGCGACGGUCUUGUUAUACUUUUUACCUAAGUGUUGACCUCGGAUCAGGUAGGAAUACCCGCUGAACUUAAGCAUAUCAAUAAGAGGAGGA